RNAcentral lists this long non-coding RNA (326 nucleotides) under Phoenix dactylifera (date palm). RNAcentral describes it as "long non-coding RNA (PDAC_LNC013720)". The record is from RNAcentral. Lineage: Eukaryota; Viridiplantae; Streptophyta; Magnoliopsida; Arecales; Arecaceae.
UUCGAUAUCCUCAAGUUGACAUAUAAUGUUGAUCUUGGUAAUGAGUUGAGGACCGAUUUCAAUGUAACUCAUGCAAUUUCGGGUGCUAAAUCGCCUAAACAAGGUGCCAACAUUUUGCUAAAUCUCCUAAAAAGCUUUAUUUUAGUUCACUACCACGCUAUAUUGUCAUGCACGCUUUGAUGUGAUUUGACCCAAACUAUUAUUCGAGUGUGAUUCAGAGCCAAUGAUUUUUACUUUUUAUAGUAGGUUCACUGUGACUAAAACACAAAAAUUUAAAAGAAAAUUAUAGGCAUUUUCCAAUAAAAAAAGGUUCUGGCUUAUAAACU